Molecule: non-coding RNA, 520 nt
Filed under: uncultured Glomus
Lineage: Eukaryota; Fungi; Glomeromycota; Glomeromycetes; Glomerales; Glomeraceae
Also listed under: 3 other names
Description: SSU rRNA
Rfam family: Eukaryotic small subunit ribosomal RNA
Source: RNAcentral
AGCAGCCGCGGUAAUUCCAGCUCCAAUAGCGUAUAUUAAAGUUGUUGCAGUUAAAAAGCUCGUAGUUGAAUUUCGGGAUUAAUAUGUUGGUCGUGCCUUGGUACGUACUGGCAUUAUUGAUUCCUACCUUCUGAAGAACCUCGAUGUCAUUAAUUUGGUGUCUUGGGGAAUCAGGACCGUUACUUUGAAAAAAUUAGAGUGUUUAAAGCAGGCUCGCGCUUGAAUACAUUAGCAUGGAAUAAUGAAAUAGGACGUUUGAUUCUAUUUUGUUGGUUUCUAGGAUCGACGUAAUGAUUAAUAGGGAUAGUUGGGGGCAUUAGUAUUCAAUUGUCAGAGGUGAAAUUCUUGGAUUUAUUGAAGACUGACUACUGCGAAAGCAUUUGCCAAGGAUGUUUUCAUUAAUCAAGAACGAAAGUUAGGGGAUCGAAGACGAUCAGAUACCGUCGUAGUCUUAACCAUAAACUAUGCCGACUAGGGAUCGGAUGAUGUUAAUUUUUUAAUGACUCAUUCGGCGCCUUAC